UUUGUAAAUACAGGCUUUUUUUAGAACCUGCAGCUGCCCUAAUUCAUUGAUGAAUUGUCUAUGGUGCUUUUGCAUUACAAUAGCAGAGGCCCUCUCAGAGCCUUUAAGAAGCCAGUAAGGAAAUCCAGCUGCAUUUCCCUGGAACCCUGUUGUCAUGGAGUGUCCCCGAUGCUGGGAUGCAUGUACCUGAGGGCACAUGAAGACUUCUCAAGGGAUACAGUCAGCAGUGUUCGUGGAGCCCCUACACUGUCCCAGACACCAUCCUAGAAGCAGGAAAUACAGCGAGGAACAAGACAGGCAACCAGGGAGGAAGGCUCUCUGCAACACGUGAAAAGUCCAGCUGAUGUCCAUUUUCCCCUGUGCAAGUCAUUAGCACACAGAGCCACCAACGUCAAGUCCUUCGACUGACCACACACCAGAUCAUCAAGUAAAUCUUUUGCAAGGCCUGCUACAGCAACAAAGGAAGGGAGAAUUAUACUGGCAGGGUGAUGGCGCAGCAUCCCAGAUGCUACAAACAGCGGGAGUAAAUGGA
This is a long non-coding RNA of Prionailurus viverrinus (fishing cat), 532 nucleotides long. RefSeq lists it as uncharacterized. Lineage: Eukaryota; Metazoa; Chordata; Mammalia; Carnivora; Felidae. The transcript has 5 exons. The record is from RefSeq and is a predicted model, not a curated record.